ACAAAGCUAACAUGUUUCUAUGACAAUUUUUUUGUUCAAAUACAAACUCUCUCAGUAAGUUUCAUCUAUUUCAGGAACUCCUUUAUUAAGCAACAUGCCCUUCAGAAGCAGGAUCAGUUUCCAGUUGGACACCACAGCCAGAAAGCUGUCGGUUUUCAGAAGCAGUUCCAAGGACUUAUUUUUCAAACACCUUUACCAGCAUCUUUCCACUAUUUGAAUGCCUCUACAGUGAUCUGCAUAAGGAUGAAAACAAGUUCUUAAAUCUUGGACUUUACCAACAUUACAUGUGUGGGCUACCAUUUCUCCCAAGGAAAAAGAAAGAUUUGCAGGAAGCAUGA
Long non-coding RNA from Tympanuchus pallidicinctus (lesser prairie-chicken), 338 nucleotides. RefSeq lists it as uncharacterized. The record is from RefSeq and is a predicted model, not a curated record. NCBI's taxonomy places the organism in Eukaryota, Metazoa, Chordata, Aves, Galliformes, Phasianidae. The transcript has 3 exons.